CUACGGGUUGCUCCAGUGGGGAAUAUUGGACAAUGGGGGAAACCCUGAUCCAGCAAUGCCGCGUGUGUGAAGAAGGCCUGCGGGUUGUAAAGCACUUUCGGUUGGGAGGACUGCUUCUAGCACUAAUAUUGUUGGAAGUUGACGUUACCUCCAGAAGAAGCACCGGCUAACUCCGUGCCAGCAGCCGCGGUAAUACGGAGGGUGCAAGCGUUAAUCGGAAUUACUGGGCGUAAAGCGCGCGUAGGCGGCUAGAUCAGUCGGGUGUGAAAGCCCCGGGCUUAACCUGGGAACUGCAUCCGAUACUGUCUAGCUUGAGUACAGGAGAGGAGAGUGGAAUUCCACAUGUAGCGGUGAAAUGCGUAGAUAUGUGGAGGAACACCAAUGGCGAAGGCAGCUCUCUGGCCUGAUACUGACGCUGGGGUGCGAAAGCGUGGGGAGCAAACAGGAUUAGAUACCCGCGUAGUC
This 465-nucleotide ribosomal RNA is filed under the name uncultured bacterium. RNAcentral describes it as "partial 16S ribosomal RNA". It matches the Rfam family "Bacterial small subunit ribosomal RNA", at positions 339 to 795 of the family's 1533-position model. The record is from RNAcentral.